RNAcentral lists this ribosomal RNA (857 nucleotides) under uncultured bacterium. RNAcentral's name for it is "bacterial SSU rRNA". It matches the Rfam family "Bacterial small subunit ribosomal RNA", at positions 59 to 879 of the family's 1533-position model. The record is from RNAcentral.
ACGCUUUGUUUUUAUUGAUAUGAAGAGCUUGCUCUGAUUUGAUUCCCUUUGACAAAGAGUGGCGAACGGGUGAGUAACACGUGGGUACCCUACCUCUUAGCAGGGGAUAACUUUUGGAAACAAGUGCUAAUACCGUAUAACACUAACAACCGCAUGGUUGUUAGUUGAAAGAUGGUUCUGCUAUCACUAAGAGAUGGACCCGCGGUGCAUUAGCUAGUUGGUAAGGUAAUGGCUUACCAAGGCGAUGAUGCGUAGCCGAGUUGAGAGACUGAUCGGCCACAAUGGGACUGAGACACGGCCCAUACUCCUACGGGAGGCAGCAGUAGGGAAUCUUCCACAAUGGGCGCAAGCCUGAUGGAGCAACGCCGCGUGUGUGAUGAAGGGUUUCGGCUCGUAAAACACUGUUAUAAGAGAAGAACGACAUUGAGAGUAACUGUUCAGUGUGUGACGGUAUCUUAUCAGAAAGGAACGGCUAAAUACGUGCCAGCAGCCGCGGUAAUACGUAUGUUCCAAGCGUUAUCCGGAUUUAUUGGGCGUAAAGCGAGCGCAGACGGUUAUUUAAGUCUGAAGUGAAAGCCCUCAGCUCAACUGAGGAAGGGCUUUGGAAACUGGAUAACUUGAGUGCAGUAGAGGAAAGUGGAACUCCAUGUGUAGCGGUGAAAUGCGUAGAUAUAUGGAAGAACACCGGUGGCGAAAGCGGCUUUCUGGACUGUAACUGACGUUGAGGCUCGAAAGUGUGGGUAGCAAACAGGAUUAGAUACCCUGGUAGUCCACACCGUAAAACGAUGAGUGCUAGAUGUUCGAGGGUUUCCGCCCUUGAGUGUCGCAGCUAACGCAUUAAGCACUCCGCCUGGGGA